Molecule: long non-coding RNA, 2470 nt
Filed under: Mus musculus (house mouse)
Lineage: Eukaryota; Metazoa; Chordata; Mammalia; Rodentia; Muridae
Description: long non-coding RNA chr4:109296265-109298735
Source: RNAcentral
GUUAUACUGUUAUCUCUUGUUCAUCACUUCUUUUUUUUUUUUCUUGUAUGUGUGUGUGUGAGAGAGAGACAUGGUCUUGCUGUAUAGGUCAUACUGGCCUCAGCUAGGUACAUAGGCAUAUACCAACCACCAUGUCCAUGCCUCUUCCUGUUUUGUACAGAUGUAGCUGGGCUUUGUUAAAUGAAUGCAUACAUGUUAUUUCUAAGUAGAUUCACCCUCUUUCUUCCUACCAUAAUUAAAUUCCUACUUUCCUGACACCCUUGAACUUUCAUAGAUGCCCUGCUUUGCCCUGAACAUUCCUCAAUAUUCCUGUACAGGCAGACCUGAGCUUUUGAGCAUUGAUACUUUGAGGCUGCCUUGCAGAUGAGCUAUUAUGUUCAUUAGCUGAACAAGGAACCCUUUGAAUGGGGGUGUGGAAUGAGUGGCACUGCCUGCAGAUAAGCAAUUCAAGUCUGGUGACAUCAGAUCAUCAUCAGUACUCCAGUUUGUUUACCACAGAUUGUUUGUUGUUGCUGUGGUCACAAUUUUAUGUCGUUUUACAUGCUAGGCAAGUGCUUUCCUUCUGUAUUGCAUCCCUUACCUUCGGCUGAUUACUUUAUUGAAGUAGAUUUUGAACUGAUUUUUAAGUACCAUGGAUACUUGGGUAGAGGGUGGGCAUUUUGAAGAGAGCUCUAAACUGACUUCUGUUAUAUGGGUUUCUGGUUAGAAUUAUGACUUUGUUCUCCUGGUUCUUUGUAACCUGACUGUUACUCAUUCUCCUCCUUGUCCCCAAAGAAGAACAAACCCCUUUCCCCAAAACAACCUUUCUAAAAUGAUCUUUUUAUCUUGUUUUUGUUUUUCAAAUAUCUUUAGAAUGAAUGCCAACUAUAUAUCACAAGAAGUUAUUGAAUAAAAUAUAAUUGCUAUUUAUUUCUAUUUUAGUUGUCAAGUGGGAAUCCUGUAUAUGAAAAAUACUACAGACAGGUAAGAUUUCAUUAUUUGUAUUCUGAAUUGACCAUAAAAUAUGCUAUCAAUUGUUGAUUAUAUGCAUGUAGAUAAGCAUUCACACACACAAGAAGCAGUCACUAGAUAUGUUUGAUGUGUUAUGCUUUCUAUUUUUUGGGCUUUAGCCUCUAGCUUUGAGUACUUGAUACUGACUUUGUUUUGAGAGGGUCCUACUAGGUGAUCUCUGCUGGCCUUUUAGUACAUAAUCCUCAAGUGGGAACUUGAGGGUUCUUUGGAAAGUCAGUUGUGUUGGAUGGUGUUUUGAUGGAGCAAACACGUGAAGGAAUGUUUUCCUGAAGUAGACACAGAUGAAAGAAAGACUAAGGCAGACUUGUGAAGGAAUGUUUUGCUGAAGCAGACAUAGGAGAAAAGAUGUUCUGCUAAAGCAAGCACGUGAAAGGACAUGUAAUGAAGGAUUCUUUGCUAAUAACAAACACGUAUUGGUCUGCCUUGCAUUGAGUAUUUGAGCUGCAUUUGUUGGGACUCUUCAGACGGGGCUGAUUGGAUGCCCACACUGAGGCAAGAGCUGUACUGAGGCACGGCAUGUGGAAGACAUGUGAUGUUUGAUGUUUCAAGUUUUCGCACAGCCAAGAACUUCUGGUGUUCCUACUGAUCUCCUGCUGACUUGAGCCAAGGCUGAGGCUGGCUGUCUCUGCUAGGUUGUGUUACCACAGUAGCUAACCAGACUCUGUAUAGAACUGGACUGCUGGUUUAUCUGUGAAGUGUUUGUGAGUGGUUCGAGCUACUGCUGCCUGCUAACCUGUGAACUGAAAUGCUGACUUCCAGACAGCAGAGAUGGAGUUGCUCCAAAGAAGCUUUCCAAACAGGUCCACUUCACCCUCAGCAUCCUUUCUUUCCCACCACCUCUGGUGAGUGGUGGGCAAUAAAAGAGGUUAAAGCAUUUAAGAACCAUCAUUAAAGAUAGGAUUUGAAAAAAUUAAAGUUACGUAAUCCUAUCUCAAUCUCCUGUGUGCUGAGAUUAUAGGCUUAUACCAGACACUAGCAAUUAGUUCUCAGGAAAAUGAAAGAGAAUUUAGUUACCUUAAAUAUUAGUGUUAAAAAAAUCUUUAGAAUAUUAGACCCACUCAUUCAGAUAAAAAUAUCCAAAUUAAUGUGUAAGCCAAAGAGAUAUAACUAUUAUAUGUUUGUUUGUUUGUUUGAUGGUUUGGUGGUUGGUUCUUGCUCCAUAGUCUGGAUGGCCUGGCACAUAGUCUGACUUGUCACAACCCUCCUGCAUCAGCCUCUAGUGUUGAGAUUAUAGGUGUGUGCUGUUACACCUGUCUUAUUUAAGUAUGUUUUACAGACUGAAAGCAUGGCUGUCACACACAUGAAUUGAGUAUGGGCUGAGGUGUAACUCUUUGGCAGAUUACAUGUUCAACAUACACAAAGACCUAGGUUUAAUUCCCAGAACUGCAGAACCAAUCAACCAAACAAAACUUGUAUCAAGGCUUUUAUUAAUUAAUAAAACUCAGGGAAACAUUCAGAU